GCUUGCAAAUGAUUGAUUUUGGUCGCCGGCGAGUGGCGGACGGGUGAGUCCCACGUACCUAACCUGCCCAGAAGCGGGGGACAACAUUUGGAAACAGAUGCUAAUACCGCAUAACAACGUUGUUCGCAUGACAAACGCUUGGAAGAUGGCUUCUCGCUAUCACUUCUGGAUGGACCUGCGGUGCAUUAGCUUGUUGGUGCCGUAACGGCCUACCAAGGCGAUGAUGCAUAGCCGAGUUGAGAGACUGAUCGGCCACGGUGGGACUGAGACACGGAACAUACUCCUACGUUAGGCAGCAGUAGGGAAUCUUCCACAAUGGGCGCAAGCCUGAUGGAGCAACACCGCGUGAGUGAAGAAGGCUUUCGGCUCGUAACGCUCUGUUGUUAAAGAAGAACACGUAUGAGAGUAACUGUUCAUACGUUGACAAUAUGGCCU
This 435-nucleotide ribosomal RNA is filed under the name Limosilactobacillus fermentum. Its description in RNAcentral is "bacterial SSU rRNA". It matches the Rfam family "Bacterial small subunit ribosomal RNA", at positions 66 to 493 of the family's 1533-position model. The record is from RNAcentral. Lineage: Bacteria; Bacillati; Bacillota; Bacilli; Lactobacillales; Lactobacillaceae.